UACAGAGGGUGCAAGCGUUAAUCGGAAUCAUUGGGCGUAAAGGGUGCGUAGGUGGUUGAAUAAGUCAGAUGUGAAAUCCCUGGGCUUAACCUAGGAAUUGCAUUUGGUACUGUUCAGCUAGAGUGCAGUAGAGGAAAGUGGAAUUUCCGGUGUAGCGGUGAAAUGCGUAGAUAUCGGAAGGAACAUCAGUGGCGAAGGCGACUUUCUGGACUGUAACUGACACUGAGGCACGAAAGCGUGGGGAGCGAACAGG
Molecule: ribosomal RNA, 253 nt
Filed under: uncultured prokaryote
Description: partial 16S ribosomal RNA
Rfam family: Bacterial small subunit ribosomal RNA
Source: RNAcentral